UUAAGUUCAGCGGGUAUUCCUACCUGAUCCGAGGUCAAACCACGAAGGUGCUCGUUGCGUCGAGGCGUGGCCGCGCCGCGUCCCAGCUGCGAGGCGAUUGCUACUGCGCAGAGGAAGCCGCGGCGUGGCCGCCACUGGAUUUCGGGGGCGGCCGCCGCGAUGGCGGGGCCGGUCCCCAACGCCAAGCCCCGCGCGGGGGC
Molecule: unclassified non-coding RNA, 200 nt
Filed under: Nectriaceae sp.
Lineage: Eukaryota; Fungi; Ascomycota; Sordariomycetes; Hypocreales; Nectriaceae
Description: partial internal transcribed spacer 2
Source: RNAcentral